This 425-nucleotide ribosomal RNA is filed under the name uncultured bacterium. RNAcentral describes it as "partial 16S ribosomal RNA". It matches the Rfam family "Bacterial small subunit ribosomal RNA", at positions 354 to 796 of the family's 1533-position model. The record is from RNAcentral.
GUGGGGAAUCUUAGACAAUGGGGGAAACCCUGAUCUAGCCAUGCCGCGUGAGCGAUGAAGGCCUUAGGGUUGUAAAGCUCUUUCAGCUGGGAAGAUAAUGACGGUACCAGCAGAAGAAGCCCCGGCUAACUCCGUGCCAGCAGCCGCGGUAAUACGGAGGGGGCUAGCGUUGUUCGGAAUUACUGGGCGUAAAGCGCGCGUAGGCGGACCAGCAAGUUGGAGGUGAAAUCCCAGGGCUCAACCUUGGAACUGCCUUCCAAACUCCUGGUCUGGAGUUCGAGAGAUGUGAGUGGAAUUCCGAGUGUAGAGGUGAAAUUCGUAGAUAUUCGGAGGAACACCAGUGGCGAAGGCGGCUCACUGGCUCGAUACUGACGCUGAGGUGCGAAAGCGUGGGGAGCAAACAGGAUUAGAAACCCCAGUAGUCC